AAGUCGUAACAAGGUUUCCGUAGGUGAACCUGCGGAAGGAUCAUUAACAAAUCGUGUGUUUGUGUGUGCAUUUUGUGCAUACAAAUAUAUAUGUGCGCCAGUAGGAUUUACUGGAAUGCAAAAUAUUCAUGAUAUAGUGUGCUAAUUUGUGAAUGUCUAAAUAUAAAAUACUUUUAACAAUGGAUCUCUUGGCUCUU
This 197-nucleotide unclassified non-coding RNA is filed under the name fungal sp. Its description in RNAcentral is "partial internal transcribed spacer region". The stretch from base 1 to 46 matches the Rfam family "Eukaryotic small subunit ribosomal RNA", at positions 1786 to 1831 of the family's 1831-position model. The record is from RNAcentral. Lineage: Eukaryota; Fungi.